GACUUAGUGGUGUAGUGGUAACACAUCAACAUGAAGCAAAGCCAACCAUUCAUGCUUCAGUAGAAGAUCCCUGUUCAAUUCAGGGCUAGGUCA
Non-coding RNA from Mycena rebaudengoi, 93 nucleotides. NCBI's taxonomy places the organism in Eukaryota, Fungi, Basidiomycota, Agaricomycetes, Agaricales, Mycenaceae. The record is from the annotation of a GenBank genome assembly.